This 38-nucleotide transfer RNA is filed under the name Leposoma scincoides. RNAcentral describes it as "partial tRNA-Ser". Lineage: Eukaryota; Metazoa; Chordata; Lepidosauria; Squamata; Gymnophthalmidae. The record is from RNAcentral.
AGGACGGACCUGCGUGGUGCUAACACGCCACCCCCAAG